GUAUAUAUAAUUUAAAUAAAAUAUUAAACUGUGACUUNAAUUAUGAG
Molecule: transfer RNA, 47 nt
Filed under: Aneides lugubris
Lineage: Eukaryota; Metazoa; Chordata; Amphibia; Caudata; Plethodontidae
Description: partial tRNA-His
Source: RNAcentral